Molecule: ribosomal RNA, 460 nt
Filed under: uncultured bacterium
Lineage: Bacteria
Description: partial 16S ribosomal RNA
Rfam family: Bacterial small subunit ribosomal RNA
Source: RNAcentral
CCUACGGGAGGCAGCAGUGAGGAAUAUUGGUCAAUGGCCGGAAGGCUGAACCAGCCAUGCCGCGUGAAGGUCAGUGCCCUAUGGGCGUUAAACUUCUUUUGUGCGGGAGCAAUAAUGGUCACGUUUGGCCAGACGAGAGUACCGUACGAAUAAGCAUCGGCUAACUCCGUGCCAGCAGCCGCGGUAAUACGGGGGAUGCAAGCGUUAUCCGGAUUUAUUGGGUUUAAAGGGUGCGUAGGCUGGGAGGUAAGUCAGCGGUGAAAUGCCCCCGCUCAACGGGGUGAAGUGCCAUUGAUACUGCCUGGCUGGAAUGCGGAUGCCGUGGGAGGAAUGUGUGGUGUAGCGGUGAAAUGCAUAGAUAUCACACAGAACACCGAUUGCGAAGGCAUCUCACGAAUCCGCGAUUGACGCUGAUGCACGAAAGCGUGGGUAUCAAACAGGAUUAGAUACCCUAGUAGUC